UUUCUUGCUGUUUUUUUUGUCAAUAGACCAGAACAAGUUGGAUGAACCUGAAGAGUGAGAUGGAUGGACAGUCUCCAGAUCUGGACCCCAGGACCUCCACCCACAGCUUACCCACCGAUAUGUCUCAACCCAACUUCCCAUAUAAUAAGUCUGCUUCGCUGCCAGGAUAUGGGCGGAACGGAAUAUACAAGGCGGCUGAUCUUGGCGAGGAUGAUGGCGAUCAUGACUCAUCCUGGAGUGGAAUGAGAGGU
RNAcentral lists this long non-coding RNA (251 nucleotides) under Sinocyclocheilus grahami. RNAcentral describes it as "lncRNA (ENSSGRG00000007921.1)". Lineage: Eukaryota; Metazoa; Chordata; Actinopteri; Cypriniformes; Cyprinidae. The record is from RNAcentral.